This 108-nucleotide small nuclear RNA is filed under the name Pteropus vampyrus (large flying fox). The record is from RNAcentral. Lineage: Eukaryota; Metazoa; Chordata; Mammalia; Chiroptera; Pteropodidae.
AUGCUCACUUUGGUGGUACAUAUACUAAAACUGGAAGGAUAUAUUGAAAAUUAGCAUGGCCCCUCUGCGAUGAUGACAUCAAGUUUACGUAGUGCUCCAUAAGUUUUU